Molecule: ribosomal RNA, 460 nt
Filed under: uncultured bacterium
Lineage: Bacteria
Description: partial 16S ribosomal RNA
Rfam family: Bacterial small subunit ribosomal RNA
Source: RNAcentral
CCUACGGUUGGCAGCAGUGAGGAAUAUUGGUCAAUGGGCGGAAGUCUGAACCAGCCAUGCCGCGUGCAGGAAGACGGCUCUAUGAGUUGUAAACUGCUUUUGUACGAGGGUAAACCUGGAUACGUGUCUUCAGCUGAAAGUACUGUAAGAAUAAGGAUCGGCUAACUCCGUGCCAGCAGCCGCGGUAAUACGGAGGAUCCAAGCGUUAUCCGGAUUUAUUGGGUUUAAAGGGUGCGUAGGCGGAUUGAUAAGUUAGAGGUGAAAUGUCCGGGCUUAACUCGGGAACUGCCUCUAAUACUGUUGAUCUAGAGUUGAGAUGCGGUAGGCGGAAUGUAUGGUGUAGCGGUGAAAUGCUUAGAGAUCAGACAGAACACCGAUUGCGAAGGCAGCUUACCAAGCUAUAUCUGACGUUGAGGCACGAAAGCGUGGGGAGCAAACAGGAUUAGAUACCCGAGUAGUC